RNAcentral lists this unclassified non-coding RNA (303 nucleotides) under plant metagenome. RNAcentral's name for it is "partial contains 5.8S ribosomal RNA, internal transcribed spacer 2, and large subunit ribosomal RNA". The stretch from base 1 to 105 matches the Rfam family "5.8S ribosomal RNA", at positions 50 to 154 of the family's 154-position model. The record is from RNAcentral.
GAAAUGCGAUAAGUAAUGUGAAUUGCAGAAUUCAGUGAAUCAUCGAAUCUUUGAACGCACAUUGCGCCCCUUGGUAUUCCGAGGGGCAUGCCUGUUCGAGCGUCAUUUCAACCCUCAAGCUCUGCUUGGUAUUGGGCUGUCGCGCCUCUGCGCGUGGACUCGCCUCAAAUUCAUUGGCGGCCGGUACGUUGGCUUCGAGCGCAGCACAUUUGCGAACCUCGGAGCUCCUCGUGCCUGGCUCCCAGAAGCAAUCUUUCACGAAUUUGACCUCGGAUCAGGUAGGGAUACCCGCUGAACUUAAGC